UCUAGCAUAAAUAGUAUUAGAGGCACUGCUGCCCAGUGACACAUGUUCAACGGCCGCGGUACCCUGACCGUGCAAAGGUAGCAUAAUCACUUGUUCUCUAAAUAAGGACUUGUAUGAACGGCCACACGAGGGUUUAACUGUCUCUUACUUUUAAUCAGUGAAAUUGACCUAUCCGUGAAGAGGCGGAUAUAUUUAAAUAAGACGAGAAGACCCUAUGGAGCUUUAAUUUAAUAGUACAAACUAGUAGCUUAAAAACCCACAGGCAUUAAAUUACAGUCCAUGUACUAUAGAUUUCGGUUGGGGUGACCUCGGAGCAUAAUACAACCCCCGAGAAUAUAUACCAAGACCUUACUAGUCUAAGUGAACCUAAACUCAUUGACCCAAUAAAUUGAUCAACGGACCAAGUUACCCUAGGGAUAACAGCGCAAUCCUAUUACAGAGUCCAUAUCGACAAUAGGGUUUACGACCUCGAUGUUGGAUCAAGACAUCCUAGUGGUGCAGCCGCUACUAAAGGUUCGUUUGUUC
This 525-nucleotide ribosomal RNA is filed under the name Plecturocebus moloch (red-bellied titi). RNAcentral describes it as "partial 16S ribosomal RNA". It matches the Rfam family "Bacterial large subunit ribosomal RNA", at positions 1829 to 2582 of the family's 2925-position model. The record is from RNAcentral. Lineage: Eukaryota; Metazoa; Chordata; Mammalia; Primates; Pitheciidae.